Molecule: transfer RNA, 73 nt
Filed under: Candidatus Omnitrophota bacterium
Lineage: Bacteria; Pseudomonadati; Candidatus Omnitrophota
Description: tRNA-Ala
Rfam family: tRNA
About the family: Transfer RNA (tRNA) molecules are approximately 80 nucleotides in length. Their secondary structure includes four short double-helical elements and three loops (D, anti-codon, and T loops). Further hydrogen bonds mediate the characteristic L-shaped molecular structure. tRNAs have two regions of fundamental functional importance: the anti-codon, which is responsible for specific mRNA codon recognition, and the 3' end, to which the tRNAs corresponding amino acid is attached (by aminoacyl-tRNA synthetases). tRNAs cope with the degeneracy of the genetic code in two manners: having more than one tRNA (with a specific anti-codon) for a particular amino acid; and 'wobble' base-pairing, i.e. permitting non-standard base-pairing at the 3rd anti-codon position.
Source: RNAcentral
GGGGCCGUAGUACAGUUGGGAGUACGCUUGCAUGGCAUGCAAGAGGUCGGGGGUUCAAAUCCCCCCGGCUCCA